CGGUGUCACCCAUUGUCCCGGUCUGUCCCAGUAUCACCCAUCAUCCCAGUGUCACCCAUUCUCCUGGUGUCACCCGUUGUCCCAGUGUCACCCAUUGUCCCAGCGUCACCAGUUGUCCCGGUGUCACCCAUUGUCCCGGUGUCACCACUCCCACUCCACGCCUCGCUCCUCACCUCCCACCGCCUCGCUGGCAAAGACACCCAGGAUGGCAGCGCUCUGGUGGCCCAGCUCCCUCCAGGUCUGUGCCGAGGCCUCGGGGACCACCAGGAUGUCACCGGGGGGGCAG
This is a long non-coding RNA of Neopsephotus bourkii (Bourke's parrot), 286 nucleotides long. RefSeq lists it as uncharacterized. The record is from RefSeq and is a predicted model, not a curated record. The transcript has 3 exons. NCBI's taxonomy places the organism in Eukaryota, Metazoa, Chordata, Aves, Psittaciformes, Psittacidae.